This 85-nucleotide ribosomal RNA is filed under the name Disa vasselotii. RNAcentral describes it as "partial 25S ribosomal RNA". It matches the Rfam family "Eukaryotic large subunit ribosomal RNA", at positions 1 to 82 of the family's 3401-position model. The record is from RNAcentral. Lineage: Eukaryota; Viridiplantae; Streptophyta; Magnoliopsida; Asparagales; Orchidaceae.
UUGCAACCCCAGGAUGGGCGGGUUUACCCGCUGAGUUUAAGCAUAUCAAUAAGCGGAGGAGAGGGAACUUACAAGGAUUCCCCUA